GUUUCCUCUGCAUGCACUGAUCCUCAAGAUUCCACAUACGAUCCUGCACAGUCUGCUACAAUGGAGACAGAAUCAUCUCAGCUUUUUACAUCACCAGUGACUUCAUAUGGCGAUGCAAAAUACAUUGUUUUUGAGCAAUGCCUCUUCAGCCUGUUCGAGAUCUGCCCUGUGUGCACAAGAACCUGUACAUUCCUGCCACGCAGAAGAGGGUCCUUCCUAGCGAUCGACCAACUAUGCCCUCACUGCAAGUUCUUCCGACAGUGGAAGAGUCAGCCAGUUAUUGGGAGCACCCCUGUGGGCAACCUUCAGCUGUCUGCUGCCAUUUACUUUUGUGGAGCUUCAUUUUCAAAGAUGAAAAAGGUAUCAUUGUGCUCAUUGUCCCCUGCAGGAAGUGUUUGUCUUUCACUGAUGACUUCACAACUGAUCUACUUUUAAUUAUUUUAUAGAUAUUUGAUGCAAUGCAGCUGAGAACACACACGUAUGAUGCCUUCAGAAGACAUUGUGUACAGAAAUGGGUUUUGUUUAGUGAAAGUGUGAGAUCAGGCCUAAUUGCCAGCCAUCAAAAUGCAAAUCAUUACAGUUUUAGGCUGCUCUAACUGAAAGGCACUUGUAACAACACCGGUUAGAGUACAGCUUUGGCACAGCCUACAGGUUUAGCCAAUGCUUUUGCUGUGAGUUAAUAGUAGUAUUUUGCUUGGUGUGUGCUUACAAAAGUGACAAGUGACAAUUGUUACAACAUUUCUGCUGUUUCAUUUAGGUUGUACCUUGCAGCUAUGCAUUUCAAUGAGAAUGCUCAGCGCCCACAACGGAAGACAGCCAAGGGGAAACUAAUGUACAGGCUUGUGUUUCCAAAGGCCAAAAGGGGAGGUUACACGGUCAAAAAAAGACAGAGCCAACGAUUUGCUAUGUCUUUAACCUGAUAAGACUGGUGUUCGAAGAGAUCGUCCAUGACUCCCUUCCUUAUGUGGAUGCCGUCCAGCAGAUUCCUGUGCCCCAAGACUUGUGUGCUCAGCUUCCCAGACCUUCCAGGGAGGAUGCUGUCGCUGAGCAUGUGUCACGGUUCAGUCGAGGGGGGGUCUGAACCCGACAUACUGCCCUGAUGUUUCCGGAAACUCCCUCCGUAUGCGCAGCACCACACAAGAGGGGAUCACAACACGGACACUUCGCCCAAGGAAACCCCAGCACCAGCUCACGAAAGAUCUGUAGGCCAAGUG
Molecule: long non-coding RNA, 1214 nt
Organism: Alosa sapidissima (American shad)
Lineage: Eukaryota; Metazoa; Chordata; Actinopteri; Clupeiformes; Clupeidae
Exons: 3
Source: RefSeq, a predicted model, not a curated record